Molecule: ribosomal RNA, 278 nt
Filed under: uncultured bacterium
Lineage: Bacteria
Description: partial 16S ribosomal RNA
Rfam family: Bacterial small subunit ribosomal RNA
Source: RNAcentral
UGCCAGCAGCCGCGUAAUACGGAGGGGGCAAGCGUUAUCCGGAAUUAUUGGGCUUAAAGGGUGCGUAGGCGGCUUUGUAGGUGGGGUGUGAAAUCCCUCGGCUCAACCGAGGAACUGCGCCCCAAACCCCGAAGCUAGAGGGAGACAGAGGUAAGCGGAACUGAUGGUGGAGCGGUGAAAUGCGUUGAUAUCAUCAGGAACACCAGUGGCGAAGGCGGCUUACUGGGUCUCUUCUGACGCUGAGGCACGAAAGCUAGGGUAGCGAACGGGAUUAGAUA